RNAcentral lists this ribosomal RNA (578 nucleotides) under uncultured bacterium. Its description in RNAcentral is "bacterial SSU rRNA". It matches the Rfam family "Bacterial small subunit ribosomal RNA", at positions 338 to 859 of the family's 1533-position model. The record is from RNAcentral.
CCUACGGGAGGCAGCAGUGGGGAAUCUUGCACAAUGGAGGAAACUCUGAUGCAGCGAUGCCGCGUGAGUGAAGAAGGCCUUUGGGUUGUAAAGCUCUUUUGUAGGGGAAGAUAAUGACUGUACCCUAAGAAUAAGGUCCGGCUAACUUCGUGCCAGCAGCCGCGGUAAUACGAAGGGACCUAGCGUAGUUCGGAAUUACUGGGCGUAAAGCGCGCGUAGGCCGUUGAGUUAGUUAAUUGUGAAAUCCCAAAGCUUAACUUGGAACUGCAAUUAAAACUGCUCGACUAGAGUUUGAUAGAGGAAAGCGGAAUACAUAGUGUAGAGGUGAAAUUCGUAGAUAUUAUGUAGAACACCAGUUGCGAAGGCGGCUUUCUGGAUCAAUACUGACGCUGAGGCGCGAAAGUAUGGGUAGCAAAGAGGAUUAGAUACCCUCGUAGUCCAUACCAUAAACGAUGAUUGCUAGAUGUUGGAAAUUUAUUUCAGUAUCGNNCUACNCAUANNANCNCUGGAGACGACGCGAGUAACGUACGAAGAAGUAAGUAGNGUUGAGAGUUGCGAGACGACGACGAGGGAGGAGG